RNAcentral lists this non-coding RNA (100 nucleotides) under Ralstonia sp. RNAcentral describes it as "TPP sequence". It matches the Rfam family "TPP riboswitch aptamer (THI element)". From Rfam's summary of the family: Vitamin B(1) in its active form thiamin pyrophosphate (TPP) is an essential coenzyme that is synthesised by coupling of pyrimidine and thiazole moieties in bacteria. Lineage: Bacteria; Pseudomonadati; Pseudomonadota; Betaproteobacteria; Burkholderiales; Burkholderiaceae. The record is from RNAcentral.
UCGAAGAAACAGGGGUGCCGUGCCCACGCUGCAUGGCUGAGAGAGACCCUUUGCACCCGAUCCGGUUCAUACCGGCGUGGGAAGUUUCGAACGGUGCCGG